This is an RNA transcript of Diospyros lotus (date-plum), 2232 nucleotides long. It is a transcript of the gene named probable NAD(P)H dehydrogenase (quinone) FQR1-like 3, with no coding region annotated. Lineage: Eukaryota; Viridiplantae; Streptophyta; Magnoliopsida; Ericales; Ebenaceae. The transcript has 2 exons. The record is from RefSeq and is a predicted model, not a curated record.
AUCAUUUCAUUCUUUUGUUUUUUAUUUUUUUUCUAUUGAAUGAAAAUUGUAAGAUUUAAAUAAAUUCAACACAAUUGUAGGGUUCUGGAGAAGAUGAAGGUACCUUCGAAAGCGGGUGACGUGCCAGAGAUCAGGCCGGAACAGCUUUCGGAGGCUGAUGACUCUAUCUUUGGUUUCCCUCCUCGUUUUGGGGUGAUGGAAGCCCAAUUCAAAGCCUUUUUUUAUGCCAAGCAAGAGCUCUGGGCUGCGCAAGCACUGGCCGGCAAGCCUGCCGGAAUCUUUUGGAGUACUGGCUUCCAUGGGGGACGCCCGGAACUUACUGCCAAUAGCAAGGUGGAAGACGGCGAUUGGGGGUGGCGACGACAAUUGUAGGUGGUUGUCAAUGAAGUCAGUGGCAGUAAUAGCGGUGGCGGCGAUAAUGGUGGCUACGGGUGGUUGCAGACAACAGCCAUGGUUGCCGAUGGCAAUUGCCGUGAGCUCAACCACCAGCGACGAUGUCUGCUGCUAGUGAUGGCAGUGAUAGCAACCGAUGGAGGAGGAGAGGAGUGAAGGAGCAAUGGUGACGAUCGCGGUGGCUUAGAGAAGAAGAAACCCUAGCCUCCAAUUCACCAUUUGUUUUUCGCGUUUUCAAUUUUUGGCUUUGUUUUGGAUAAAAACUUUUUGUUAUUUUGGCUUUCCUUUACAAUUUAUUUUUUUAUUUUUGAAAAUCCGUUUUUGAAAACAACAAAAUAAACACGUUUUUACUAUUUUAGAAAAUUGAAAAUGAUCUAAAAAUAAUAAAGAAAACGGACCUUAGGGUUUCAAACUUUGGUUUUAGAGAUUGGGGAUUUGCAUUACACUAUGCACUAAUGCGUUAUAUACAUAGAACAUGCAUUGGGGCACGGCCUGACCUCACCCAACCCAACUUUCUCAAAUUCAUGAAAAAAAUAAGACCUUUUACAAUUUGUUCAAAAGUCUUACCAUUUUCUAUUUUCCUUUUCAUCCAGAAUAACUAAAAUCACUUGAUUUUCAAAUGUCUUACAUUUUUCUUGUGCUUCCUCUGUAUCUUGUUCCUUUUCUCCUUCAUCUUCAUUUUCUUAUUUUUUCAUGAUGUAUCUUAGUCCUUAGAGAGAAAGUUGUGGAAAGGGGAAAGGAGGAAUAAGUGUAAUAUAUAUACAUAUAUAUAUAUAGAGAGAGAGAGAGAGAGUUGCCUUGGUAAAGGGUUGCAUCAAGGACAUUCGAUGUAAAUUUUUUACCACAUUAUUCUUUUACGUAAAUUUAUAUUAUUAAUAUGAUUUUUAGAUAUUAAUUAACAUUAUAGCUGGUAUGUUGUGUCAUCAACCCAAACUUGGUUACAAGAAGGCAUGAUUGAUGAUAAUGGAGAGAAGGGAAAUUCAAUAUUUGAUUAACAAAUUCAUCCACUUUCAUAUGAGAGAGAAGAAGUUAAAAUAAUUUUCAAGACUUGACAGUACACACUAUGAUUUAAUGAAACCGCAAGGGUAUUAGAUGCAGUUUACUUUGUAUUUUAAUUACUUUUUGAAAUUCCCAUAUGAAAGUAUGAACACCCUACUUUUCUUGUCCAAUUUGUAAAAUUAUUCCAAGUUCUAAUGAAAUUGGAUUUCAUGAAUCUCAUCAAAACAUUUCACAAUUUCGAUGCAACUUUAUUACAGAGCAUUGAUAGGUCGUGGGUCGACAUAGCACACCUAAACAUUUCUACACAUAGGACCCUAUUUAUAUGUGGAGGAUAAAGCCACAUAAGCUAGAGACGCAUGUUAGCUACACAAAACCAGUCAAAUUGGUCCAAGAAAGUGACGCCAAUCCAUAAGUAUUAAUCAGUGGUUGAAUUAAGCAUAAUAUAUUUUAAGAUUGAGAUAAUCACCUCAGGUUAUUAAUAAUGCUAGAUAAGGUAGAAAAUCCAUAACACCAAACAAGGCAGCACCAAAAUCAUUAUUGAUAAGGCAAAUGCCAUCUCAAUUCCAAGUAUCCCAGUCUCCACUUCUACAAGUUAAAUAUAACUAGCUAUUGUAAAAACAACAAUUUGAGGAUAAGAAAGAAAGUCCUAGUUCAUUCAUUCACGUCAAUAUAAUUUCAUAAAAUAUCAUCUCUGUUGGUAAACUUUUUGGGCACUGUCCUAGGAAGUUCUUUUUCAUCGUUCUUGUUGGAUUUUAAUGAGCAUAAAAUGGCUUUCAACCCUCGUUUGUUAGAUUGUCGAUCAAGUCAACCCAUAUCAUCUUUCGGUCAAUUAGGGUCUAU